GCAGUGAAUUGCCUAAUAAUGCAUGUAUGUUAUUGUAAAUUAUAACCAAAUAAUGCAGUUAUUUUUUCGGAUUACUGAAUUUGGCAUGUGCACGUGCGUGCUACUGCACCUUCCUAGUAGGCACGUGCCUCACUUGGUUUUCUGCAUUGAAAUGUGAACCACACGUUUGUCACUUAUCUAAAAAUUUUUGAAUAUAAUCAAUUGUACCUAGAAUAAUUUUAGGAAAA
This 227-nucleotide unclassified non-coding RNA is filed under the name Hevea brasiliensis (rubber tree). The record is from RNAcentral. Lineage: Eukaryota; Viridiplantae; Streptophyta; Magnoliopsida; Malpighiales; Euphorbiaceae.